AAUGAACGCUGGCGGCGUGCUUAACACAUGCAAGUCGAACGAGAAACCCCGGCUUGCCGGGGGAGUAAAGUGGCGCACGGGUGAGUAACGCGUGGGUAAUCUACCCUCGAAUUGGGGAUAACACAUCGAAAGGUGUGCUAAUACCGAAUAAGACGACGGUGGCCAAGGCCACCGGGGUCAAAGAUGGCCCCUGCCUGCAAGCUGUCGUUUGGGGAUGAGCCCGCGUCCCAUUAGCUAGUUGGUGGGGAAAGAGCCCACCAAGGCAACGGUGGGUAGCUGGUCUGAGAGGAUGGCCAGCCACACUGGAACUGGAACACGGGCCAGACUCCUACGGGAGGCAGCAGUGAGGAAUUUUGCGCAAUGGGGGCAACCCUGACGCAGCAACGCCGCGUGAGUGAAGAAGGCCUUCGGGUUGUAAAGCUCUGUCAAGCGGGAAGAAACUUUUUCGAACGAACAAUUCGAAAAAUUGACGGUACCGCUGAAGGAAGCACCGGCUAACUCCGUGCCAGCCGCCGCAGUAAAAC
This 524-nucleotide ribosomal RNA is filed under the name uncultured bacterium. RNAcentral's name for it is "bacterial SSU rRNA". It matches the Rfam family "Bacterial small subunit ribosomal RNA", at positions 29 to 526 of the family's 1533-position model. The record is from RNAcentral.